UCGGAUCUGGUGUAAGGGUCAACAUCGCCGUCUUUCAUCAGUAAAUUCCUUCUUUCCUUCAAACAGCAGAUCGAGGUUCGAGUCCUCGUGUCCGAG
Molecule: non-coding RNA, 96 nt
Organism: Stereum hirsutum FP-91666 SS1
Lineage: Eukaryota; Fungi; Basidiomycota; Agaricomycetes; Russulales; Stereaceae
Source: the annotation of a RefSeq genome assembly